RNAcentral lists this ribosomal RNA (869 nucleotides) under uncultured archaeon. RNAcentral's name for it is "bacterial SSU rRNA". It matches the Rfam family "Archaeal small subunit ribosomal RNA", at positions 1 to 878 of the family's 1478-position model. The record is from RNAcentral.
CUCCGGUUGAUCCUGCCGGACCUGACUGCUAUCGGAUUGGUACUAAGCCAUGCGAGUCAUUGUAGCAAUACAAGGCGGACGGCUCAGUAACACGUAGUCAACCUAACUCGUGGACGUGGAUAACCUCGGGAAACUGAGAAUAAACCACGAUAGAUCAUAGUGCCUGGAAUGGCUUAUGGUCCAAACAGUUUACUGCCAUGGGAUGGGACUGCGGCCUAUCAGCUUGUUGGUGAGGUAAUGGCCCACCAAGGCGAUUACAGGUACGGGCUCUGAGAGGAGAAGCCCGGAGAUGGGUACUGAGACACGGACCCAGGCCCUAUGGGGCGCAGCAGGCGAGAAACCUUAGCAAUGUGCGAAAGCACGACUGGGUCAGUCCGAGUGAUUCCUGAUAAAGGAGUCUUUUGCUUGUCCUAAAAGCACAGGUGAAUAAGGGGUGGGCAAGUCUGGUGUCAGCCGCCGCGGUAAUACCAGCACCUCGAGUGGUCAGGACGUUUAUUGGGCCUAAAGCAUCCGUAGCCGGCUCUGCAAGUCUUCGGUUAAAUCCACCUGCUCAACAGAUGGGCUGCUGGAGAUACUACAGAGCUAGGGAGUGGGAGAGGCAGACGGUAUUCAGUGGGUAGGGGUAAAAUCCUCUGAUCCAUUGAGGACCACCAGUGGCGAAGGCGGUCUGCCAGAACACGUUCGACGGUGAGGGAUGAAAGCUGGGGGAGCAAACCGGAUUAGAUACCCGGGUAGUCCCAGCUGUAAACGAUGCAAACUCGGUGAUGCAUUGGCUUAUGGCCAAUGCAGUGCCGCAGGGAAGCCGUUAAGUUUGCCGCCUGGGAAGUACGGACGCAAGUCUGAAACUUAAAGGAAUUGGCGGGGGAGCA